UAUCUUGGACCUAUAACAAGGGUGGUCUGGCAUGCUAACCGUGUAAAAUACUUGUCAACAAAGCCUAACAGAUUGGCAACCCGACUGUCUCAACGCAAGCAAUGUAAACUAAAUUUAAAUUUAAAUUUAAUAAUCGAUAAGUAGUUUUUAUACCUAGCUUUGUUCGAUUCGACCAUAUGGUAGGCAGGCAGGCAGGCAACGGAGCGUACUUGGAAUCGACGUGCUGAGCGGUCUUUGCAAUAGCAAUUGUAAAGUGAAAAUGAAAAGGGGUACACCCAUCCAAUCCAUGGUGAUGGCACGCAUUUCAUUUGAUCACCGAGCGCCGUAUGGAGACACGGGAGAGUUACGUGUAGAGGGAUGUCGCUAUCUGAGCUUGUAUGGAAAGGCAAGUCGAUCUUAAGAAUACAAGGUAGCAAAGACGACGCUGAGACUUUGGAUCCUCGCAACUUUUUAUGGGAAUAAGGAAUCGCCCAGAUCAGACCGUUGCUGUUAUUCGAGUUUCACUCCGAUUCGGUUCGCCGGAAGAUGCGUUCUUCGACAAUCAACAAAAAUUGAUGUGUGCGUUACUGACAAAACAAAUAUGAAGUGUCUAAAUAAUUAACGUAGAGCUGUUCAAAAAUGAGACUCGUAUGAAGACAUCUCGACAAUACCUACCUAUAUUAUCCGUCAACGAGUAAGAUCAAAUCAGAAAGAAUAUAUCUUCAGUAAACAAGGCUAUGCUUCAUGUGAAAUCGUUGAUUUAUUUCUUUACGGUGUUACACAGCGUUUACCAGAAAUCAAUACGCGCCCUUUAGUCUCAAAAAAUGUUCCGCAUAGAAAAAAAAACGCAAUAAAAAUGCAAAGUUGUCCAUAUGAA
Long non-coding RNA from Varroa destructor (honeybee mite), 856 nucleotides. RefSeq lists it as uncharacterized. The record is from RefSeq and is a predicted model, not a curated record. Lineage: Eukaryota; Metazoa; Arthropoda; Arachnida; Mesostigmata; Varroidae.